GUUAAUAAGGCCCUUAUGUUGGAGGAUAAGCAUUAUGCAAUGGACGACACCCGUAAGCACAAGCUGAUGGGUAGUGGAGGACCUAGUAACCCGAAGCCAUGCCCAUGGUAGUCAGCUCCAGCAAGACCUAACUAUCAAUAGCAGCAGUACAAGUCUCCAACAUUUCGUCAGAACUACCAGCCCCAACAGCAAGUCAACACCAAGCCAACAUUCAACCCACCAAAUAACAGUGG
This 233-nucleotide long non-coding RNA is filed under the name Hordeum vulgare. RNAcentral describes it as "long non-coding RNA (HVUL_LNC015514)". The record is from RNAcentral. Lineage: Eukaryota; Viridiplantae; Streptophyta; Magnoliopsida; Poales; Poaceae.